Long non-coding RNA from Rhea pennata, 537 nucleotides. RefSeq lists it as uncharacterized. NCBI's taxonomy places the organism in Eukaryota, Metazoa, Chordata, Aves, Rheiformes, Rheidae. The transcript has 2 exons. The record is from RefSeq and is a predicted model, not a curated record.
CCUGCCGGCGCGGGCCAACGACGACGGCGCAGCCGCGCUUCGAGAAUAGCCCCCCUCCCCCCGCCCCGGCGCGGCGGCGGGGAGCCCCCCGUAGCGACUACGCCGGCAGCGCAGAACGCCCCUUAGCAACCAGCUAGGCCGCGGCAUCCCCGGCCUUUCCCAGCCGCCGCCGCCGCCUCCCCGCCGCCCUUCCGCCGCCGCCGCGGCGCUUACAGGUCGGUGCCGAGCUGGGUGAAGCCGGAGUUGAGGCAGCCGCGGGCUAUGCGCCUCCAGAGGACAUCGCGGCUAGUGAAGAAGCGCAGGCGGCGGCAGACCUGGCCCAGGCGGCCCAAGGCCUGCGCGUCCAGGAGCCUGGAGUACUGACAGCACAGAAUGAUCCUGAUCCAAAGUGGCAGCGCUGCUUCCCACAGACAGUGGAGCAGGAAAAUGCGAGUAUGAUGUUGUUAUUCAUUCUUGUAGUAUUUUCCACUCUACGGAAGACUGAAAUGUUUGAGGAGAUUUCUCCCUCAAAAUUAAAAGAUAAAUAAGUUGUAAGAA